UUUUGUUAGUGAACGUAAUCGUCAAAGAAGAUCGUUAUUACCUUCCAAGAAUUCAUCUUCAUUCCUCAGUCGCCAAUGUACCCAUUUCAUUUUCACUGUCAUCUAGUGUCCCUGCUACAGUUAACCUGCUUCCAUCACCAUACUACCAUCUGAAUGUAGUAGUUUUACUCAACUCAACGUCGUCAACAAGUUAACGUGAUGGUCAUGUAAUUAGGACUCUGGUAUAUUACAUCCUUGGGUGAUCAUGAAGAGCCGCAUUUUGUUUAUCAUAUCUGAUAUUAAACAAAUUUCUGUCUCAAUUUUUGUAUCAUCUUCAAGGCAGAUUUGCUACAUGAAUACUUGUUCAUACGGUAAGUCAGCAUUCUUCCGUCAAGAUUAUCUUUGCAUAGACAUAAUUCUUAGUUUGACCGAUCCUGGAUCGAGUUCGACUUUAUGACUAUGCUAAAUUAAUUAAUCCAUCCACGCCGUCUUUCUAUUUUAUUUGAUUGAAUGGUACUAACUGAGUUUUACAUUUUUUCUUUCAGGUUAAUUUAAUGGAUGAUAUUUUUUCAACUUGCUCUAUUAGGAUGUCGGUGAGAAUCUGUGUAUGUAUCUAGCUUGUUUUAUAAUUUUAAGGCAGUUUUUGCUACAUGAAAGCUGUAAAUCUUGCUCUCAUGUCGUUCCCUAUUCUGCAAAAUCAAAUUUUUAUGAGACGAUAUGCUUUGCAUUAAAAUUUUUAUUUGAGUUUUAAUACGAAUCUUAUUACACAUUUCUUUUUCAUUCAUCCAGGUGGCAGUCUCAGAGUCAACGUAUGGUCAAAAUGAAUUGUUACAAUCUCUACGAUAGAUUAUGUAAUUUUUUGACGAAUCAAAAUCAUAAUCCUAACUGUUAUACAGAAUGUAUCAUUUGGUUUACAGAACACUUAUUUCUGUGAUAAAUUCAUACGGUAAGUUAGCAUUCUUCCGCCAAGAUUAUCUUUGCAUAGACAUAAUUCUUAGUUUGACCGAUCCUAAAUCGGAUUGGACCUUAUGACUAUGCUAAAUUAAUUAGGCCAUCCACGCCGUCUUUCUAUUUUGUUUGAUUGCAUGGUACUAACUGAGUCUUACAUUUUUUCUUCCAGGUUAAUUAAAUGGAUGAUAUUUUUUCAUACUUGAUCAAUGAGGAUAUCAAUGAUAACCUGAGUAUGUAUCUACUGUAUAUUUAGCUUGCCUUUCAAUUUUUAAGGCAGUUUAUGCUACAUGAAAGCUCUACUUCUUGUUCUCAUGUCGUUCCCUAUUCUGCAAAAUCAAAUUUUUAUGAGACGCUAUGUUUUGCUUUAAAAUUUAUAUUUAAGUUUGAAUACGAAUCUUAUAAUACAUUGCUUUUCAUUCAUUCAGAUAGCAGUUCUAGAAUCUAAAAAAAUUAUGUUUACUUCCACCCGAAAAAUAUCUAUCACUUGGAAGUUUCCCGAAUCAAUUUUUGUCCCGUACGUGUGGUGAAUGACAUUGGCUACGGAAGUCGACCAAUUCAUUUAUAGACUGAUAUACAUUGAUCCAAUGGCUAAAUCAAUGUGGACUCCAAUCAAAAUGAAAUUGAACUGUAUCAGUUGUUAAAAUCGUUUCAAUAUAUUAAAAAUAGCACUAAUUCAGUAUCAUA
RNAcentral lists this small RNA (1614 nucleotides) under Tetranychus urticae (two-spotted spider mite). Its description in RNAcentral is "sRNA tetur30g02290". The record is from RNAcentral. Lineage: Eukaryota; Metazoa; Arthropoda; Arachnida; Trombidiformes; Tetranychidae.